Molecule: ribosomal RNA, 402 nt
Filed under: uncultured bacterium
Lineage: Bacteria
Also listed under: 1 other name
Description: bacterial SSU rRNA
Rfam family: Bacterial small subunit ribosomal RNA
Source: RNAcentral
UAGGGAAUCUUGCGCAAUGGGCGAAAGCCUGACGCAGCCAUGCCGCGUGAAUGAUGAAGGUCUUAGGAUUGUAAAAUUCUUUCACCGGGGAAGAUAAUGACGGUACCCGGAGAAGAAGCCCCGGCUAACUUCGUGCCAGCAGCCGCGGUAAUACGAAGGGGGCUAGCGUUGCUCGGAAUUACUGGGCGUAAAGGGCGCGUAGGCGGAUAGUUUAGUCAGAGGUAAAAGCCCAGGGCUCAACCUUGGAACUGCCUUUGAUACUGGCUAUCUUGAGUUCGGGAGAGGUGAGUGGAAUGCCGAGUGUAGAGGUGAAAUUCGUAGAUAUUCGGCGGAACACCAGUGGCGAAGGCGACUCACUGGCCCGAUACUGACGCUGAGGCGCGAAAGCGUGGGGAGCAAACA